Molecule: ribosomal RNA, 468 nt
Filed under: uncultured bacterium
Lineage: Bacteria
Description: partial 16S ribosomal RNA
Rfam family: Bacterial small subunit ribosomal RNA
Source: RNAcentral
GACGAACGCUGGCGGCGUGCUUAACACAUGCAAGUCGAACGGAAAGGCCCUGCUUUUGUGGGGUGCUCGAGUGGCGAACGGGUGAGUAACACGUGAGUAACCUGCCCUUGACUUUGGGAUAACUUCAGGAAACUGGGGCUAAUACCGGAUAGGAGCUCCUGCUGCAUGGUGGGGGUUGGAAAGUUUCGGCGGUUGGGGAUGGACUCGCGGCUUAUCCGCUUGUUGGUGGGGUAGUGGCUUACCAAGGCUUUGACGGGUAGCCGGCCUGAGAGGGUGACCGGCCACAUUGGGACUGAGAUACGGCCCAGACGCCUACGGGAGGCAGCAGUGGGGAAUAUGGCACAAUGGGCGGAAGCGUGAUACAGCAACGCCGCGUGCGGGAUGACGGCCUUCGGGUUAUAAACCGCUUUCGCCGGUGACGAAGCGUGAGUGACGGUAAUGGGUAAAGAAGCACCGGCUAACUACGUG